Molecule: microRNA, 24 nt
Filed under: Aedes aegypti (yellow fever mosquito)
Lineage: Eukaryota; Metazoa; Arthropoda; Insecta; Diptera; Culicidae
Also listed under: 1 other name
Description: Aae-Mir-193-P1_3p (mature (guide))
Source: RNAcentral
UACUGGCCUACUAAGUCCCAACUU